UGCGGGGUAGCAAUAUUCCGCAGUCGGAGCGGCGCAAGGGUGCGUAACACGUGGGCAAUCUGCCGUGAAGUUUGGGAUAACUUGCUGAAAGGCGAGCUAAUACCGGAUGUGACCGUUGGGAGGCAUCUCCUGAUGGUCAAAGUUGGGGACCGUAAGGCCUGACGCUUCAUGAUGAGCCCGCGGCCUAUCAGCUAGUUGGUGAGGUAACGGCUCACCAAGGCUAAGACGGGUAGCUGGUCUGAGAGGACGACCAGCCACACUGGAACUGAGACACGGUCCAGACACCUACGGGUGGCAGCAGUCGAGAAUUUUUCACAAUGGGCGCAAGCCUGAUGGAGCGACGCCGCGUGGGGGAUGAAUGGCUUCGGCCCGUAAACCCCUGUCAUUCGCGAUCAAACCUUGCUAUUUAAAAGAUGGCGAGCUGAUAGUAGCGGAAGAGGAAGGGACGGCUAACUCUGUGCCAGCAGCCGCGGUAAUACAGAGGUCCCAAGCGUUGUUCGGAUUCACUGGGCGUAAAGGGUGCGUAGGUGGUGAGGUAAGUCGGAUGUGAAAUCUCGGAGCUCAACUCCGAAAUGGCAUUGGAAACUACCUUGCUUGAGGGUUGGAGGGGGGACUGGAAUUCUCGGUGUAGCA
This 633-nucleotide ribosomal RNA is filed under the name uncultured Verrucomicrobiota bacterium. RNAcentral's name for it is "bacterial SSU rRNA". It matches the Rfam family "Bacterial small subunit ribosomal RNA", at positions 70 to 680 of the family's 1533-position model. The record is from RNAcentral. Lineage: Bacteria; Pseudomonadati; Verrucomicrobiota.